AGGAUGAACGCUGGCGGCGUGCCUAACACAUGCAAGUCGAACGUCCUGUCUCGCAAGAGGCAGGGAGUGGCGGACGGGUGAGUACCACGUGGGUCAUCUACCGUGAGGUGAGGAAUACCGGCGAGAAAUCGCCGACAAGACCGCAUAGCCUCGGUGCAAGUCGAGGAAAGCUCUCUCGAGAGAGGGAGCGCCACACGAGGAGCCUGCGCCCGAUUAGCUAGCUGGUGGAGUAAUGGUUCACCAGGGCGACGAUCGGUAGCUGGUCUGAGAGGACGAUCAGCCACACUGGGAUUGAGAACGGCCCAGACUCCUACGGGGGGCAGCAGUGAGGAAUUUUCGUCAAUGGGGGCAACCCUGAACGAGCAACGCCGCGUGCAGGAAGAAGGUUUCGGAUCGUAAACUGCUUUUCUCGGGAAGAGAACGGACGGUACCGAGGAAUCAGCCCGGCUAACUACGUGCCAGCAGCCGC
RNAcentral lists this ribosomal RNA (469 nucleotides) under uncultured bacterium. Its description in RNAcentral is "SSU rRNA". It matches the Rfam family "Bacterial small subunit ribosomal RNA", at positions 26 to 518 of the family's 1533-position model. The record is from RNAcentral.